AUUGAACGCUGGCGGCAUGCCUUACACAUGCAAGUCGAACGGUAACAGGUUAAGCUGACGAGUUGCGAACGGGUGAGUAAUGUAUCGGAACGUGCCCAGUCGUGGGGGAUAACUGCGCGAAAGAGCAGCUAAUACCGCAUACGACCUGAGGGUGAAAGCGGGGGCUCGCAAGACCUCGCGCGAUUGGAGCGGCCGCUAUCAGAUUAGGUAGUUGGUGAGGUAAAGGCGCAGCAAGCCGACGAUCUGUAGCUGGUCUGAGAGGACGACCAGCCACCCUGGGACUGAGACACGGCCCAGACUCCUACGGGAGGCAGCAGUGGGGAAUUGUGGACAAUGGGCGCAAGCCUGAUCCAGCCAUGCCGCGUGCGGGAAGAAGGCCUUCGGGUUGUAAACCGCUUUUGUCAGGGAAGAACAGGUUCUGGCUAAUACCUGGGACUCGUGACGGUACCUGAAGAAUAAGCACCGGCUAACUACGUG
Molecule: ribosomal RNA, 477 nt
Filed under: uncultured bacterium
Lineage: Bacteria
Description: partial 16S ribosomal RNA
Rfam family: Bacterial small subunit ribosomal RNA
Source: RNAcentral